ACAUCAUGUUGAAACACCAGUUACCAUAUGAUCACUUAAGUUAAGCAGCAUCAAGUCUGGUCAGUACCUACAUGGGUGAGUGCUUGGGAAUACCAGGUGCUGUAAG
This is a non-coding RNA of Acanthosepion pharaonis, 106 nucleotides long. Lineage: Eukaryota; Metazoa; Mollusca; Cephalopoda; Sepiida; Sepiidae. The record is from the annotation of a GenBank genome assembly.